AGAAUCAUGCACAAUGGACGAAAGUCUGAUGCUGCAACGCCGCGUGGAGGAUGAAGGCCCUAGGGUCGUAAACUCCUGUCAUCAAAGAGUAUGGGGGUGUUGGUUAAUAACUAAUGCUCUUGAUAGUAUUUGACGAGGAAGGGACGGCUAACUUCGUGCAAGCAGCCGCGGUAAUACGAAGGUCCCGAGCGUUAUUCGGAAUCACUGGGCGUAAAGAGUAUGUAGGCGGCGUGGAAAGUCAGGUGUGAAAGCCCGGGGCUCAACCCCGGAACGGCACCCGAUACUCCCACGCUAGAGUAAUGGAGGGGAGUCUGGAAUUCACGGUGUAGCAGUGAAAUGCGUGGAUAUCGUGAGGAACACUAGUGGCGAAGGCGAGACUCUGGACAUUUACUGACGCUGAGAUACGAAGGCUAGGGUAGCGAAC
This 424-nucleotide ribosomal RNA is filed under the name uncultured bacterium. RNAcentral's name for it is "bacterial SSU rRNA". It matches the Rfam family "Bacterial small subunit ribosomal RNA", at positions 358 to 773 of the family's 1533-position model. The record is from RNAcentral.